Molecule: ribosomal RNA, 151 nt
Filed under: Coenogonium luteum
Lineage: Eukaryota; Fungi; Ascomycota; Lecanoromycetes; Ostropales; Coenogoniaceae
Description: 5.8S ribosomal RNA
Rfam family: 5.8S ribosomal RNA
About the family: 5.8S ribosomal RNA (5.8S rRNA) is a component of the large subunit of the eukaryotic ribosome. It is transcribed by RNA polymerase I as part of the 45S precursor that also contains 18S and 28S rRNA.
Source: RNAcentral
CUUUCAACAACGGAUCUCUUGGCUCCGGCAACGAUGAAGAACGCAGCGAAAUGCGAUAAUUAAUGUGAAUUGCAGAAUUUUGUGAAUCAUCGAAUCUUUGAACGCACAUUGCGCCCUCUGGUAUUCCGGGGGGCACGCCUGUUCGAGCGUC